RNAcentral lists this ribosomal RNA (497 nucleotides) under uncultured bacterium. RNAcentral describes it as "partial 16S ribosomal RNA". It matches the Rfam family "Bacterial small subunit ribosomal RNA", at positions 28 to 507 of the family's 1533-position model. The record is from RNAcentral.
GAUGAACGCUGGCGGCGUGCCUAAUACAUGCAAGUCGAGCGAACGCACGAGUAGCUUGCCUCUCUGAUGUCAGCGGCGGACGUGAUACUAACACGCGUACCCCCUCCUUAUAAGUAUCGGAUCACAAAGUGUACUCGGACCUCAUACCGGCUACUAUUUUGAACCGCAUGGCUUAAAAGCGAACGCCGGCCUUGCUGUCACUUAUAGAUGGAUCCGCGCUGCAUUAGCUAGUUGGUAAGGUAAAGGCUUACCAAGUCGACGAUGCGUAGCCGACCUGAGAGGAUGAUCGGCCACACUGGGACUGAGACACGGUCCAGACUCCUACGGGAGGCAGCAGUAGGGAAUCUUCCGCAAUGGGCGAAAGCCUGACGGAGCAACGCCGCGUGAGUGAUGAAGGUCUUCGGAUCGUAAAACUCUGUUAUUAGGGAAGAACAGAUGUGUAAGUAACUGGGCACAUCUUGACGGUACCUAAUCAGAAAGCCACGGCUAACUACGUG